This 71-nucleotide transfer RNA is filed under the name Loxodonta africana (African savanna elephant). It matches the Rfam family "tRNA". From Rfam's summary of the family: Transfer RNA (tRNA) molecules are approximately 80 nucleotides in length. Their secondary structure includes four short double-helical elements and three loops (D, anti-codon, and T loops). Lineage: Eukaryota; Metazoa; Chordata; Mammalia; Proboscidea; Elephantidae. The record is from Rfam by way of RNAcentral.
ACACUGGUGGUUUGGUGGUAGAAUUCUUGCCUUCCAUGCAGGAGACCAGAGUUCAAUUCCCAGCCAGUGCA